This 2947-nucleotide long non-coding RNA is filed under the name Citrus x clementina. RNAcentral's name for it is "Citrus clementina (C. clementina) long non-coding RNA (CCLE_LNC006840)". Lineage: Eukaryota; Viridiplantae; Streptophyta; Magnoliopsida; Sapindales; Rutaceae. The record is from RNAcentral.
CAUAGUCAUUUAAUAGCCUAUACUAAUCAAACACUUAUACGGCAUGUUGUAAAUUUUUUUCUAGAAUUAUCAAAUAACAAUAACAAUUACAUAUACAUAAUCUUGUGAUAUUAUCAUUGAAUAAUAACUCAUCCUUGGACGUUUCUUAAACUUUCUUCUUCUGUUUCCUUCCCCCCCCCCCCCCCCCCUCCUCUCAGGAUGUCUUAGAUGAGCAAAGGUUUCAAUCUUAAAUCAUUUUUAAGUCAUUAUAGGUCUUACUAGCCAAUGGUAACUCGCAUCUGAAUAUAUAUUGAAGGACGUAGAUUCAAGCUCCUUAACUCAUGAGAGGUUGUUUUUCAUAAAUAAAUUUCUAAUUAUUUUUGUCUAUUGAUCGUAACAAUUAAAAAAAUAAUAAUCCAGAAUUAUCAUCUGAUCGGUGUAUCAUUUAAAUAAUUAAAGACAUGAAUUGUAUGACAAGAUAGCCUCAAUUUGAAGCCCAAAUUAAUGGUCUCGUAAAACGGCAAAUAUUGCCAAAGCCCAAGAUGAUAAGCAUUGGAUACCAAGAGCCCAACCUCUUCGGCCAGCAAUUUCUGCUCAAUUCCAUCCAAGGGAUUUUGUCUCUGUGUUUUAAUUUUCUGAAGCCGCCGAAGCGAAAAUAAAUGAACCUCUUCCUUUCCAUGCAAAAAAAUGAUAUAAUUAUUUAGUUUCAAAUCUUUUGGACGACACUUCUAACAAUGGAAAUUAAAUUGAAAUUGAAAUAAAACAUAAUUAAUGCAACAUGGUGUUAUUGCUAUGUCAAUUUGUGCUUCAUGAAGUGCUCCUAGUGCAGUGUUUUAUUCUUAAAAAAAAUAAAUAAAGAUAUAAGCCAUUUGUAUAAUCUAUUUAAAAAAAAAUUAUUAAAAUUACUAAAAUUAUUCAUCAAUUCCAAUAUAAUUCAUCUAUUAACAAUUAAUUAUCUCAAUUAUUUUAAAAAGUUUAAUUACUAAAACAAAACUUUUACUAUCGCAUAAAUAAUAGAGCAUCUUAUUAGAUCCGAUUGAUAUUAGAUCUAUUUUAAUAUCUGUAUCUAGAAGUGCCUUUACGCGAUAGUAGACAGUGCCGUAUGCCCUUUACUUCCAUAAACAAAGGGGCAAACCCAUGUAAGUUAUAUAUAAUGAGUAAUGACUGCGUCCAAGUAUUAAGAGUAAAAAAAAAAAGGAAAUUGAAAAUCGUAUCGAUGAGAGUCGUCACUCGUCACUCUUCAUAGGCGACGGUGACAUGGCGCUGACGCGCUUAACGGAAGUCCAAGUCUAAACAAAUUACGUUAAAAAACAAAAGCGUAUUUAGUCAGACAAGCAUUAACAUUAAAAAGAAAAAUAUGCAAUGAUAAGAUUGACUUUGACCCGGAGUAAUACAAGAUUUACGGCGCGGAUCACCUGUACAAACACGCUUCCGUAGACUGCUUCCGUGCUUCUCAUUACAUACUAGUUUUUCUUUUCAAACGAAAUUUACACGUGCGAUAUGUUUUGGCCUACUCUUUACACGCGUCUAUAUAACCCAACUUGCAUGAAGAUUAGAUUGGGAUUCGGGGAUUAGGUUUAGUGAGCACUAACUAUAGCAGCAGAGUCUUUGGGUAGCUCAACUGACACCUUUUACCAUUACACCACGUGUUCUAAAAUAAAAUUAUUUUUAUUAAAAUUAACUAGUUCGAGUUGUAAAUAUAUGACUUAUAUUAUUAAUUCAUGGGAUUUACUUAAUUAUUGUUUUGUUGUCUACGUUAUAAUUUAAAUUGUCGGGUUAGUUCAUCUUAUAGUUAUUCUGAUCGUAAGCUUCAAUAAGUUUUAAUUUAAACAUCAUUAAGCUUAAUUCAAUAAACAUGAUUAAUCCGUUAGCAUGUGAUAAGUGAGGGUGGAUGAAGGAAAUAUAUAUGUCAACAAAUUCUGAGUUUUCGCAUGCAAAAUGAGACUUUUCUGAUUUUCUUAUUCAAUAAUACUCAAUGUUUUAGUUUGCACAAUUGAUAUUGUUAGAAGCAAUUAAUUAUAGAAAAAGCCUGUCAAAUUAGAAGAAAUUUUCCUAAGUCAAUAUGACAUAUAAAAUUUUCAAAUUUUUUUUGAUAUCUCAUAUUUAUGUACAGUUGUUUGGUAAUUUUCCAUAGAAAAGGUGAGAGUAGUUGUAGUUUAUUUGAUUUCCUCAUCCUAAUUUCUUGACAUCGAGAAACCCAUCCUCUACCCCCCCAACUCCAAAACAACAACAAUAAUAACAACAAUAAUAACAAUAAUAAUAAUAAUAAUAAUAAUAAUAAUAAUAAUUAUUAUUAUUAUUAUUUUGAUCAGUUUAAAUUAUAUUUUUAAUUAACCAUUUAACUUACCCUUAAUAUCUUGCUCGAAUGUUAAUCUUUUUAUGUUGAGUCAGAUAAUCCUCACUUUAAUACAAUAUCAUAUUUUUAUUAGUUCUGUAUUUGUGAUCGUAACAUGUUAAUAAUUUGACAUUUAAUAUUUAUUUUCAAACGUUCUUCUUUGACUUUCUUAAAUAAACUUUUAUGUAAUUCACUUAGUUUAUUUAUUAUGAGGGUUUCGUUACAAGGUUUGGAUUAGAAUCAAUAUUAAUUAUAGUUGUGAUAACAUAUUUCCGAUUUGAUAUGCAAUAUUAUUGGUCCAACAUUUUUAUUAUUACGGAUCAUUACGUUACUAGUGUGAUAUCCUAUGUUAUCAAUUUAUAUUUUAUCUUGAAAUGGGCUUUAGGUUUUGUUUAAAAGACCUUUAUGCCCACCAAGAGCAAGGAAUAUCAUAAGCUCCAGAAGAAGUAUCCAGUCUAAAAACUUUCAGGUCGCCAUUGACUACGCGGUCGUUAUAUACGUUUACAAUAAUGCCCAUUGACUUUUUUUCGAGUGACGAUAUGACAAUAUGGCGCUCACCUACUCCCUUAUUGACAAAUUUGCCCCUCGACGGUCAACAAAACUCACCUUAAAAAUUUCUCCAAAAGCCUCUAU